AACGCUAGCUACAGGCUUAACACAUGCAAGUCGAGGGGCAGCAUGGCGGGUGCUUGCAUCUGCCGAUGGCGACCGGCGCACGGGUGAGUAACGCGUAUCCAACCUCCCCCUGACCAGGGGAUAACCCGCUGAAAGGCGGACUAAUACCCUAUGUUCUCCUCCUAUGACAUCAGUCGAGGAGCAAAGGUUCAUUCCGGUCACGGAUGGGGAUGCGUCUGAUUAGCUUGUUGGCGGGGUAACGGCCCACCAAGGCAUCGAUCAGUGGGGGUUCUGAGAGGAAGGUCCCCCACAUUGGAACUGAGACACGGUCCAAACUCCUACGGGAGGCAGCAGUGAGGAAUAUUGGUCAAUGGGCGGAAGCCUGAACCAGCCAAGUAGCGUGCAGGAAGACGGCCCUAUGGGUUGUAAACUGCUUUUAUAUGAGGAUAAAGCCGGGGACGCGUUCCCCGUUUGCAGGUAUCAUAUGAAUAAGGACCGGCUAAUUCCGUGCCAGCAGCCGCGGUAAUACGGAAGGUCCUGGUGUUAUCCGGAUUUAUUGGGUUUAAAGGGAGCGCAGGCCGGUGGUCAAGCGUGACGUGAAAUGCAGCCGCUCAACGGUUGAUGUGCGUCGCGAACUGGCCGUCUUGAGUUGGUACGAUGCAGGCGGAAUUCGUGGUGUAGCGGUGAAAUGCUUAGAUAUCACGAAGAACUCCGAUUG
RNAcentral lists this ribosomal RNA (697 nucleotides) under uncultured bacterium. RNAcentral describes it as "bacterial SSU rRNA". It matches the Rfam family "Bacterial small subunit ribosomal RNA", at positions 32 to 715 of the family's 1533-position model. The record is from RNAcentral.